AACGAACGCUGGCGGCAGGCUUAACACAUGCAAGUCGAGCGCGUAGCAAUACGAGCGGCAGACGGGUGAGUAACGCGUGGGAAUCUACCGUACCCUACGGAAUAGCUCUGGGAAACUGGAGGUAAUACCGUAUACGCCCGAACGGGGAAAGAUUUAUCGGGGUAUGAUGGGCCCGCGUUGGAUUAGCUAGUUGGUGGGGUAAAGGCCUACCAAGGCGACAAUCCAUAGCUGGUCUGAGAGAAUGAUCAGCCACAUUGGGACUGAGACACGGCCCAAACUCCUACGGGAGGCAGCAGUGGGGAAUAUUGGACAAUGGGCGCAAGCCUGAUCCAGCCAUGCCGCGUGAGUGAUGAAGGUCUUAGGAUUGUAAAGCUCUUUCACCGAUGAAGAUAAUGACGGUAGUCGGAGAAGAAGCCCCGGCUAACUUCGUGCCAGCCGCCGCCGUAA
This 447-nucleotide ribosomal RNA is filed under the name uncultured bacterium. RNAcentral describes it as "partial 16S ribosomal RNA". It matches the Rfam family "Bacterial small subunit ribosomal RNA", at positions 29 to 523 of the family's 1533-position model. The record is from RNAcentral.